Molecule: ribosomal RNA, 265 nt
Filed under: uncultured bacterium
Lineage: Bacteria
Description: partial 16S ribosomal RNA
Rfam family: Bacterial small subunit ribosomal RNA
Source: RNAcentral
CCGGCGACCGGCGCACGGGUGAGUAACACGUAUGCAACCUGCCCUCUUCAGGGGGACAACCUUCCGAAAGGGAGGCUAAUCCCGCGUAUAUCGGUUUCGGGCAUCCGAGAUCGAGGAAAGAUUCAUCGGAAGAGGAUGGGCAUGCGGCGCAUUAGCUAGACGGCGGGGUAACGGCUCACCGUGGCGACGAUGCGUAGGGGUUCUGAGAGGAAGGUCCCCCACACUGGUACUGAGACACGGACCAGACUCCUACGGGAGGCAGCAG